AAACUUUACAAUGCGAGCAAUCGUGAUAAGGAAACCCUGAGUGCCUGUCGAUGCAGGCUGUUCAUAUAUCUAAAUCAUAUGUGAAGAAAGGGCAGGGCAAGACCGGUGCCAGCCGCCGCGGUAAUACCGGCUGCUCGAGUGAUGGCCACUAUUACUGGGUUUAAAGCGUCCGUAGCUUGACUGUUAGGUCUCUUGGGAAAUCUUCGCGCUCAACGUGAAGGCGUCUAAGAGAUACCGGCAGUCUUGGAACUGGGAGAGGUAAACCGUACUUCGGGGGUAGGAGUGAAAUCUUGUAAUCCUCGAGGGACGACCUAUGGCGAAGGCAGUUUACCAGAACAGCUUCGACAGUGAGGGACGAAAGCUGGGGGAGCAAACGGGAUUAGAUACCCCGGUAGUCCCAGCCGUAAACAAUGUGCGUUAGGUGUGUCGGUAACCACGUGUUACUGAUGCGCCGAAGAGAAAUCGUGAAACGCACCACCUGGGAAGUACGGUCGCAAGGCUGAAACUUAAAGGAAUUGGCGGGGGAGCACCACAACAGGUGGAGCCUGCGGUUUAAUUGG
RNAcentral lists this ribosomal RNA (560 nucleotides) under uncultured Methanocorpusculum sp. RNAcentral's name for it is "bacterial SSU rRNA". It matches the Rfam family "Archaeal small subunit ribosomal RNA", at positions 345 to 909 of the family's 1478-position model. The record is from RNAcentral. Lineage: Archaea; Methanobacteriati; Methanobacteriota; Methanomicrobia; Methanomicrobiales; Methanocorpusculaceae.